This 416-nucleotide ribosomal RNA is filed under the name Uncinaria lucasi. RNAcentral describes it as "partial 12S ribosomal RNA". Lineage: Eukaryota; Metazoa; Nematoda; Chromadorea; Rhabditida; Ancylostomatidae. The record is from RNAcentral.
UUUGAAAUUUUUAUAUAAUUAUAGGUUAAAUUUUAAUUAUUUAAAAUGUAUAGUUAUAAUUUUAAAUUUUGUUAAUCGAAUUAGAUUAGUACCUAAUUAGUCAAAAGUUAAAAAAGCAGAAGUAAAGUAAAAUUUAAACUGAAAGAAUAUUGGCAGAUUUUCUAAAUUAUCUUUGGAGGUUGAGUAAUAAUUGAGAACCCUCAUUAACUACUUUUUUAGUUGUCUCAUGUAUGAUCGUUUAUUAUAUGCUUAAGGGAUAUAAUUAAAAAUUUUUAUUUAAAAAAAUAGAUAUAUAUUUGGUUUAUAUAAAAGUAAUAUUUGACCUACAGUAAUUUGUAAUUGUGGAUCUAUUUUUUAGUAAAGUAGUGAAAAUGUAAAAGACAGUAAAAAAAUUUUUAUGAUUUUUUGAAGAUUAU